Molecule: transfer RNA, 77 nt
Filed under: Candidatus Arthromitus sp. SFB-mouse-Japan
Lineage: Bacteria; Bacillati; Bacillota; Clostridia; Eubacteriales; Clostridiaceae
Also listed under: 4 other names
Description: tRNA-Met (CAT) (tRNA-Met-CAT-1-1)
Rfam family: tRNA
About the family: Transfer RNA (tRNA) molecules are approximately 80 nucleotides in length.
Source: RNAcentral
GGCGGAAUAGCUCAGUUGGCUAGAGCAAUCGGUUCAUACCCGGUGUGUCGUAGGUUCGAGUCCUAUUUCCGCUACCA